UACGUAGGGGGCAAGCGUUGUCCGGAUUUAUUGGGCGUAAAGAGCGUGUAGGCGGCCAUACAGGUCAGCUGUGAAAACUCGAGGCUCAACCUCGAGACGUCGGUUGAAACCGUUUGGCUAGAGUCCGGAAGAGGAGAGUGGAAUUCCCGGUGUAGCGGUGAAAUGCGCAGAUAUCGGGAAGAACACCCGUGGCGAAGGCGGCUCUCUGGGACGGUGCUGACGCUGAGACGCGAAAGCGUGGGGAGCGAACAGG
This 253-nucleotide ribosomal RNA is filed under the name uncultured bacterium. Its description in RNAcentral is "partial 16S ribosomal RNA". It matches the Rfam family "Bacterial small subunit ribosomal RNA", at positions 524 to 776 of the family's 1533-position model. The record is from RNAcentral.